This 490-nucleotide ribosomal RNA is filed under the name uncultured bacterium. RNAcentral describes it as "SSU rRNA". It matches the Rfam family "Bacterial small subunit ribosomal RNA", at positions 26 to 529 of the family's 1533-position model. The record is from RNAcentral.
AGGACGAACGCUGGCGGCGUGCUUAACACAUGCAAGUCGAACGAGAUCCAUUCAGUAGCAAUACUGAUGAAGAUCUAGUGGCGAACGGGUGCGUAACACGUGAGGAACUUGUCCCGGUCUCUGGGAUAACAGUUGGAAACGACUGCUAAUACCGGAUGACGUCGGAACUUCGCAUGGAGUACUGACGAAAGGGUUACUGGAUCGGGAGAGCCUCGCGGCCUAUCAGCUUGUUGGUGGGGUAAUGGCCUACCAAGGCAUCGACGGGUAGCUGGUCUGAGAGGAUGAUCAGCCACACUGGGACUGAGACACGGCCCAGACUCCUACGGGAGGCAGCAGUGGGGAAUCUUGCACAAUGGGCGAAAGCCUGAUGCAGCAACGCCGCGUGCGGGAAGAAGGCCCUCGGGUUGUAACCGCUUUCAGAAGGAACGAACUGACGGUACUUUCAGAAGAAGGUGCGGCCAACUACGUGCCAGCAGCCGCGGUAAUCGUA